AGCAGCCGCGGUAAUUCCAGCUCCAAUAGCGUAUAUUAAAGUUGUUGCAGUUAAAAAGCUCGUAGUUGAAUUUCGGGAUUGACACAUCGGUCGUGCCUUAAGGGGUGUGAACUGGUGUAGUCAAUUUCUCACCUUCUGGAGAACCGCGAUGUCCUUAAUUGGGUGCCGCGAGGAACCAGGACCUUUACUUUGAAAAAAUUAGAGUGUUUAAAGCAGGCAUUUUUGCUUGAAUACAUUAGCAUGGAAUAAUAAAAUAGGACGGCAUGAUUCUAUUUUGUUGGUUUCUAGGAUCACCGUAAUGAUUAAUAGGGAUAGUUGGGGGCAUUAGUAUUCAAUUGUCAGAGGUGAAAUUCUUGGAUUUUAUUGAAGACUAACUACUGCGAAAAGCAUUUGCCAAGGAUGUUUUCAUUAAUUCAAGAACGAAAGUUAGGGAUCGAAGACGAUCAGAUACCGUCGUAGUCUUAACCAUAAACUAUAGCCGACUAGGAAUCAGACGAUGUUUAAUUUUUAAUGUACUUCGUUGCACCUUACGGGAAACCUAAA
This 543-nucleotide ribosomal RNA is filed under the name uncultured Glomus. Its description in RNAcentral is "SSU rRNA". It matches the Rfam family "Eukaryotic small subunit ribosomal RNA", at positions 569 to 1102 of the family's 1831-position model. The record is from RNAcentral. Lineage: Eukaryota; Fungi; Glomeromycota; Glomeromycetes; Glomerales; Glomeraceae.